Non-coding RNA from Oenanthe melanoleuca, 601 nucleotides. The record is from the annotation of a RefSeq genome assembly. NCBI's taxonomy places the organism in Eukaryota, Metazoa, Chordata, Aves, Passeriformes, Muscicapidae.
UGCUCAUGCUCACCCACGCUCACACACAGCAGGAAGCCAGAGGAGCAGAGUACAAGCACCUCCUGACUGCCUGCAGGUGUCAUUCCCCACCGUUCUGGGACAGCCAACUGCCUUGUGACAUUUCACACUCCCUCUCCCUCCCCUGCCCAGCCACAGAGAGACACAGCUCUUCCUCUCCACCUCUGCUCUUUACACAUCUCUGGGUCUGUGCUGUCCCCAGGGGCAGCAGGUUGCUGGAAGGACAGGCCCUUUCCCUAUGGAUUUCCAGGGGUUCCUUGUGGCCAUCCUGCUCCCUGUGGGCUGGGCCCUUCAGCAGUCAGCAGAUACAAUUGUCCGGGAGGGAGACCCUGUGACUCUGGAAUGUUCUGCAUCAGCAAAAAAUUUUGUAAACAUGUACUGGUACAAGUUACCCAUGGAGAAGAAUGCCACUAUGCAGUUGGUUGUAUAUUCAUUGGAAGGCAGCAAAGCAGAUUUUGAGAAGGAAUUCCAAAGUCGCUUCCAGAGUAAUGGGACUAAGGACAACCAUUUAUCUGUGAAGAUAGAGCAUGCCCUACUCAGUGACACAGGCACAUAUUUCUGUGCUGAGCAAGAUCCACAGUGA